ACACCGUUGGUGAAACGGUAUCAUGCGUCGUUGCCAAGUGCAACCCUCGACGCGGCAGGGGUUCGACUCCCUUACGGUGUA
This is a non-coding RNA of Apiotrichum porosum, 81 nucleotides long. NCBI's taxonomy places the organism in Eukaryota, Fungi, Basidiomycota, Tremellomycetes, Trichosporonales, Trichosporonaceae. The record is from the annotation of a RefSeq genome assembly.